Camelus ferus (Wild Bactrian camel) is the source of this 72-nucleotide transfer RNA. It matches the Rfam family "tRNA". Rfam says of the family: Transfer RNA (tRNA) molecules are approximately 80 nucleotides in length. Their secondary structure includes four short double-helical elements and three loops (D, anti-codon, and T loops). The record is from Rfam. Lineage: Eukaryota; Metazoa; Chordata; Mammalia; Artiodactyla; Camelidae.
GAGGGUAUAGCUCAGUGGUGAAGAGCAUGCUUAUCUUGCACAAGGUCCUGGGUUCAAUCCCCAGUACCUCCA